RNAcentral lists this ribosomal RNA (454 nucleotides) under uncultured bacterium. Its description in RNAcentral is "bacterial SSU rRNA". It matches the Rfam family "Bacterial small subunit ribosomal RNA", at positions 337 to 794 of the family's 1533-position model. The record is from RNAcentral.
UCCUACGGGGGGCAGCAGUGGGGAAUUUUGCGCAAUGGGCGAAAGCCUGACGCAGCAACGCCGCGUGGAGGAUGAAGGCCUUCGGGUCGUAAACUCCUGUCGAUGGGGACGAAAGCCUCGCAAGAGGUUUGACUGUACCCGUUGAGGAAGCCACGGCUAACUCCGUGCCAGCAGCCGCGGUAAUACGGAGGUGGCAAGCGUUGUUCGGAAUUACUGGGCGUAAAGGGCGCGUAGGCGGCUUGGCAAGUCAGAUGUGAAAGCCCCGGGCUUAACCCGGGAAUUGCAUCUGAAACUGCUUUGCUUGAGUCCUGGAGGGGGUAGUGGAAUUCCCAGUGUAGCGGUGAAAUGCGUAGAUAUUGGGAGGAACACCUGCGGCGAAGGCGGCUACCUGGACAGUGACUGACGCUGAGGCGCGAAAGCUAGGGGAGCGAACGGGAUUAGAUACCCCGGUAGG